GACGAACGCUGGCGGCGUGCCUAAUACAUGCAAGUAGAACGCACAGUUUAUACCGUAGCUUGCUACACCAUAGACUGUGAGUUGCGAACGGGUGAGUAACGCGUAGGUAACCUGCCUGGUAGCGGGGGAUAACUAUUGGAAACGAUAGCUAAUACCGCAUAAUAUUGAUUAUUGCAUGAUAAUUGAUUGAAAGAUGCUAUCGCAUCACUACCAGAUGGACCUGCGUUGUAUUAGCUAGUAGGUGAGGUAACGGCUCACCUAGGCGACGAUACAUAGCCGACCUGAGAGGGUGAUCGGCCACACUGGGACUGAGGCACGGCCCAGACUCCUACGGGAGGCAGCAGUAGGGAAUCUUCGGCAAUGGACGAAAGUCUGACCGAGCAACGCCGCGUGAGUGAAGAAGGUUUUCGGAUCGUAAAGCUCUGUUGUAAGAGAAGAACGGGUGUGAGAGUGGAAAGUUCACACUGUGACGGUAUCUUACCAGAAAGGGACGGCUAACUACGUGC
Molecule: ribosomal RNA, 506 nt
Filed under: uncultured Streptococcus sp.
Lineage: Bacteria; Bacillati; Bacillota; Bacilli; Lactobacillales; Streptococcaceae
Description: bacterial SSU rRNA
Rfam family: Bacterial small subunit ribosomal RNA
Source: RNAcentral